AGCGAACGCUGGCGGCAGGCUUAACACAUGCAAGUCGAGCGGGCACUUUCGGGUGUCCGCGGCGGACGGGUGAGUAACGCGUGGGAACGUGCCCCCUGGUUCGGAAUAACUCAGGGAAACUUGAGCUAAUACCGGAUACGCCCUUUUGGGGAAAGGCUUGCUGCCGGAGGAUCGGCCCGCGUCUGAUUAGCUAGUUGGUGAGGUAACGGCUCACCAAGGCGACGAUCAGUAGCUGGUCUGAGAGGAUGAUCAGCCACACUGGGACUGAGACACGGCCCAGACUCCUACGGGAGGCAGCAGUGGGGAAUAUUGGACAAUGGGCGCAAGCCUGAUCCAGCCAUGCCGCGUGAGUGAUGAAGGCCUUAGGGUUGUAAAGCUCUUUUAUCCGGGACGAUAAUGACGGUACCGGAGGAAUAAGCCCCGGCUAACUUCGUG
Molecule: ribosomal RNA, 435 nt
Filed under: uncultured bacterium
Lineage: Bacteria
Description: partial 16S ribosomal RNA
Rfam family: Bacterial small subunit ribosomal RNA
Source: RNAcentral